AUCAAAACAUUAUAAUUUAUUUCUAAAGCUUUAGUUCAUUGAGGAAUAUAAUUUCAUGCCUAAUUUCAUUUGCAUCAUAUGCUUAAUCUUUUGUGAAUCCUUUAGCAGUUUCAGCAGUUUAGAUAUCAAACUUUCCUUAGCCCUGGGACUUGCCAAAAUUGAUGGAUGUGUGUGGUCAGCAGCAAAGUGUCCACUGUUUAAUGAAGCACUGAGUAACUUAAUGUUUCUGAUUCCUGGUGCAGAAGAGGUUGUGAUAAAAAGAAGAAAGAGAUAAUCCCUAGGACAUGCAGUAAUCAUGGCUUUAUUCUAAUGUAUUUUUAUUUAUUCUUUUAGAUAUCUCUAAACAAAAGGACAACUCCUGUAUUUUUUUCAGGGAAAAGAUUAUGGCAGAAUUAUUCCUUCCCAGGAGGCAGAGAAAGGAUUUGGUUCCAUUUCACGUGGAAGGGAAGGGGUGGAAAGAGGAAUAUAUUAAUGCUGGCCAGAGAGGUCCCAGAGUCACUUGGCAGAGGGGGAUGAACCACAGGGACCUUCUUGGGGCUGUGCCAACAACUGAGCGUUAUUCAGGAGUUCUCCUUCUCACACAGCCCAGUGUGCAGCCUGUGCACUGAGCAUUCGGGGUCCGGCCACCGCAAAGAAGGCCACGGAGUGUUCAGCACAGGAUGACAUCUGCAGGGCCUCAGCUGCGUGUGUGAGUGUGCUCGGGGGACAGGAACAGCUCCGAAAAAACCCAAACCCUCCUUAUCUCACCCGUGCGCAGGCUCCGAGCGGCCGGCGGCGCUCCCGGGCCGGCGCUUUCCGGGGGAGGUGGCGCUGGGAAACCAAACCAAUAAACGCUGCUGCGGGAAACUGCUGAGUCAAGACUGGGGAAAUCACGUGAAAAGCCAAAAAAAGAAACCUUGGUGGGGAGGUGAAGGGAUCAGAGAGCAGGUUGCAGCAGAGAGCUGCGAAAUUUCCUGUAAAACCGCUCGUGUCGCGACGCAGCUGGAAAAACAUUCCCGGUGCGGGCUUGGGGGGCGGCACCGGCGAUGGGCACGGGCUGCGACACAAACCCGGCUCGGUUCAGCGUGGGCUGGAGCUCAGCGGGGCGAGCAGGGCAGGAGCUGGGCCUUGGCACCGUGCUGGGGCAGCUGCUGCCCCUUUGCUGUCCCACUGGUUUCUCUUGUCUGUCCCACUGCGGCCCCUUCGCUGUCGUGCUGUUGCCCCUCGGCGCUGGGAUGCCCCGCGGUGCUGGAAGCGUUUCCAGCUGCUGCUGGAUGUGAUGUGUGCUGCAGCCCUCGGCAGCUGGGCUAACGUGGCAGCAAAUGAGAUUGAUGCAUUCUUUAAUUCCAGGUAUUACAAGAUACCCUUUGCACAAUGUUCAAUACCUCUCAACCACUCUGCUCUUUUCUAGAGAUGCCCCUGCUCUGCAGCACCUUCAGCAAGACCACAGCAUUUACAACCUGCUGAGAUAUUCCCCAAGUCACAUCCUCAGAAUAUAAGAACUAGUCAAAAAUUUUCUAUUCCUGUAACUACCUAAAGUGACCUUUUUUGUUCUAAUAAGGACAUUCCUAAAUGGAGAAGACAGAAGAAGAAAAUCUGAGGAGGAAGAUGACACAUGCAUAUUCAUGCUACCAACAGGUGAAACUGGCCCAGAGUUUAUACUCUAUUAAAAUUGACUUUUACACACCUGAAAGUAAAAAACAAAUUUUAAAGCUUGAUGAUUUCCUUAGAAAUAACUAACAGAGAGAAGUAAUUAUUUUGCUCUUCCAAGCAUUUCCCUACAAUAUUGGCAAUAUCCCAGCAUUAGCUGCCUGAUCUGGAUCUAGAAAGAACUGGCUAUGGACUUGCCUAUUUUUAUUAGCAACUCCUGACUAUGCUGCUCAACAGGCAACACCGAGGUUAUGGAUUUUAAGAAGCUAUUUAAGUGGUAAAGGAUGCUACUGCUAUCACACUAAGACAAAAAUCUUAAGAUCAUUAUUCAGUUUAGAAUCUGAGAGUAAAUAAAAAGCAAGGCUGCCAGAAAACCAAGACACCCUUUUUAAACUAGAUUCAAAUACCAAUUCAUAAGCAGUGAUGAUCACAGCACCAUGCAAUCCAUGACAUUUAACAGGUAUUUUAAAGGUGAGAAGUUAACUUCCCUUAAAGACAACAAUGCACAAGCAACUGAAGAGCAGCCUAUAAUGCAUCACAGGUUUGUAUUUUAAAAUAAUCAGUCAAAUUAAAUGAUGAUGCUUUGAUGGGCAGAGAACAUUUUUGAGAAUUGGAACCUUAAAGCAAAGAGUUUCACUGUGAUCAUGAAUUCCUGCAAAACAUUACAGUGGGUCCUAAUCCUUACCUAAUGCAGUAUGUCUACAGAACAUUUCUGUCAAUUGUGUAUUUAGAAAUUAAUUUUAAUUUCGGUAAUAUCUUUUACCCCUCCACAACCAAAACAUAUGAGGAGAAAGAAACAAUCCAGGAAAGCAAGGCAGUGGACUACUAUGGAAAACAGCAAGCAGGAAAUGAAAAAAGCCCAUGACAGCCUCAUCUUUAUAGGGAAAAAAAUGGCAGCAUUUUAGCUAAGCUUUCUGCCUACCUAUUUGUAUUUUUAUUUACUAGAAAAUGAAGCAGCAUCACAUCAGAGAAGUUUAAUUUCUCUACCCUGAUCUCUAGUAACACUGCUCAAAAAUCUCAAACACAUGUUUGGAGAGAAUUUAUAAAAUAAUGUAAACUUGUAAAGUAAGAGUAAGCUAAGACAAAGAAAAGAUACUACAAUUAAAAAUUACAGUGAGGACAUUACAAGGAAAAACUCUGCAAAAAUUUGAACUACCUAAUCUAAAGGCAAGCGGGGAAACCAGAAAGGAAAUCCACCAUAAUAGCCCGAUAAUCACCUUAGUUUCAGCAUUUAAAACUAAGCACAGGCAGAUUAUCCUAUAAACGACAACAGGGAUAGAGACAAGGCAUGCAGAUUCAAGGCCAAUGGAAAAAAAAAAUCCACAUUCUGUGCAAAGACUUAUCAUAAACUGGGCUAAAAUAUACACUAAGCUCUGAAUCAGGAUUACUAGAAAAGAGGUAACAAACGUUAAAAGUUUAAACAAAGGCGAUUUACACACUUAGGCAGUAAAACCUUACACCUAACAUGCAAAUUAAGGCCUUCUCAAGAGACAGAGUGAAGGGAGUCUGAAAAAUAAUUCCAAGCAGCAAAGUGUAGCCCAGGAUGUGUACAUGACCAGGCAAGCACACAUCAGAAAUCACGAUCCCCCUUUACAUAAGUAUAGAAAUGUUCACCACAGAAAAGCAAUUCCCACAAAACCUGGGGCUAUUUGAAAGGAACCGGUUUUCAGGCUGAAAACAAAACACAAAGUCGAGUGUCAGAUCCCCACAGGUUGUGACAAAUU
Molecule: long non-coding RNA, 3353 nt
Organism: Serinus canaria (Common canary)
Lineage: Eukaryota; Metazoa; Chordata; Aves; Passeriformes; Fringillidae
Exons: 3
Source: RefSeq, a predicted model, not a curated record